Molecule: long non-coding RNA, 1253 nt
Filed under: Lynx pardinus (Iberian lynx)
Lineage: Eukaryota; Metazoa; Chordata; Mammalia; Carnivora; Felidae
Source: RNAcentral
GUUCUUGGUUCCUCUCUAUGGUACCAGGGCGGAGAAACGCUAAGAUCUUCGGCAAUAGGGAUAGGAAGUGACGUAAGGAUGGCGGAGGGGCGCGAGGUUUCAAGAUGGCGGUGGCAGGGUUGCUGACCGGGAGGCAGAGGUGAAGGCCCCUACGAGGUAAAAGAGGCCAAGAAUCGUCCCAUCCCCGCUUCCUGCAGUCCCAGGAACCCAGCAGAAGUGUGAGUGUGCAGGAUUGUUCCACUCCGUUCCUUCAUCUCUCCCGACCCUUCUCCGGGCCCGCGCGUUUGCCUCGGGGACACCAGGCCCGUCAGCUCCGCUCUUCCUCUCCGCGGUUGGGUCUCCCGGGUCGCGGACCGGGGGAUCUUCGAGCCAAGGGCGGUGCGGCUUCCAGCGUUUCAGCAGCUGUUCACCCGAGUCAGUUAGCGCCACCUCCUGCCUGUGCUCGUUGACCGGCCGCUUUAGAUUUGACGUCUUCUUGUACCUCGAGUCAGGGUCAACCGUCGCUAUGGUUUCGGCAGUUGCUGCUGCUGUUGCUUCCCUUGGUAAACUGGGCUCCGUCCCACUGCUGCCUCUUCGGUUAAAUUUAGUUUCCCCACGGUUUUGUGGCCCAGUUUCCCUGUCGUUUCUGCUUUUAAACCAAAAGUAGUUCGUGCAGACUAAGGCUCCACGGUCUUCUGUAGAAAUCCUCUGUAAUUAGUAUCUGUUCUUUGUUACAGUUGCGGGAGAGGAAGGUCAAAACAGGAGCCUAAGGGUAAUUGAGAAAACAGCAAACAAGAUACAAGUCAUCAAAUAUCAGGGGAGCCUAUAUUUCUACUAAUGUUGCUUGUUCCCACCUCCUUUCUCCCUGACUCCCAGUUUUUUCUGUGAAGGAAAUCCUGCGCAGGGUGAAUUAGUUGCCACUGGAAAAGCUUUGAAGCAUUUAGCAGAAAUCAAGGCAUUUGAACACUUGCUGAAAGAGGCAUUAACUAGUGAACUUUUCUUGACAAAAUCUUCAUACGAGGAAGAAGGGGAGGUAUAAUUACUUGUAUAGGCUACUAAAAAUUGUAUCUCAUGAUCUUCCCUUUCCCACCCUUUAAAAGUCUACUUUCAGGGGUGCCUGGGUGGCUCAGUCGGUUAAGAGUCCCGACUUCGGCUCAGGUCAGGAUCUCACGGUUUGAGGGUUCGAACCCCGCGUCGGGCUCUGUGCUGACAGCCUGGAACCUGCUUCGGAUUCUGUGUCUCCCUCUCUCUGCCCCUCCCCUACUUGCUCUCUC